This 48-nucleotide ribosomal RNA is filed under the name Tetrahymena sp. DLTH181-08. RNAcentral's name for it is "partial 26S ribosomal RNA". Lineage: Eukaryota; Ciliophora; Oligohymenophorea; Hymenostomatida; Tetrahymenidae. The record is from RNAcentral.
CUACACCUGAUACAAGCAAGAUUACCCGCUGAACUAAGCAUAUCAGUA